RNAcentral lists this ribosomal RNA (260 nucleotides) under uncultured Hydrogenophilaceae bacterium. Its description in RNAcentral is "partial 16S ribosomal RNA". It matches the Rfam family "Bacterial small subunit ribosomal RNA", at positions 516 to 776 of the family's 1533-position model. Lineage: Bacteria; Pseudomonadati; Pseudomonadota; Hydrogenophilia; Hydrogenophilales; Hydrogenophilaceae. The record is from RNAcentral.
AAAACAACUACGGAGGGUGCAAGCGUUGUUCGGAAUUACUGGGCGUAAAGCGUGCGCAGGCGGAUUGUUAGCAAGAUGUGAAAUCCCCGGGCUUAACCUGGGAAUGGCAUUUUGAACUGGCAGUCUAGAGUGCGUCAGAGGGGGGUGGAAUUCCACGUGUAGCAGUGAAAUGCGUAGAGAUGUGGAGGAACACCAAUGGCGAAGGCAGCCCCCUGGGAUGACACUGACGCUCAUGUACGGAAGCGUGGGUAGCAAACAGG